UAGAAUGUGGUGUAAAGGAAGCACGUGGAAGUUUGAGUUCUUUGGUAUGGGUUCGAAUCCUAUUGUUCUAG
This 71-nucleotide transfer RNA is filed under the name Simosthenurus occidentalis (short-faced kangaroo). RNAcentral describes it as "tRNA-Gln". It matches the Rfam family "tRNA". Rfam says of the family: Transfer RNA (tRNA) molecules are approximately 80 nucleotides in length. Their secondary structure includes four short double-helical elements and three loops (D, anti-codon, and T loops). Further hydrogen bonds mediate the characteristic L-shaped molecular structure. tRNAs have two regions of fundamental functional importance: the anti-codon, which is responsible for specific mRNA codon recognition, and the 3' end, to which the tRNAs corresponding amino acid is attached (by aminoacyl-tRNA synthetases). tRNAs cope with the degeneracy of the genetic code in two manners: having more than one tRNA (with a specific anti-codon) for a particular amino acid; and 'wobble' base-pairing, i.e. permitting non-standard base-pairing at the 3rd anti-codon position. The record is from RNAcentral. Lineage: Eukaryota; Metazoa; Chordata; Mammalia; Diprotodontia; Macropodidae.